GGUUCGAUCCUGGCUCAGAUUGAACGCUAAGCGCGGGAUGCCUUACACGCUGCAAGUCGAACGGCAGCACGGACUUCGGUCUGGUGGCGAGUGGCGAACGGGUGAGUAAUGUAUCGGAACGUGCCCGGUAGCGGGGGAUAACGGCGUAGCUAAUACCGCAUACGCCCUACGGGGGAAAGCAGGGGAUCGCAAGACCUUGCACUAUUGGAGCGGCCGAUAUCGGAU
Molecule: unclassified non-coding RNA, 225 nt
Filed under: uncultured Bordetella sp.
Lineage: Bacteria; Pseudomonadati; Pseudomonadota; Betaproteobacteria; Burkholderiales; Alcaligenaceae
Description: partial 16S-23S ribosomal RNA intergenic spacer
Rfam family: Bacterial small subunit ribosomal RNA
Source: RNAcentral